Molecule: ribosomal RNA, 671 nt
Filed under: Hymenobacter sp. x4r7
Lineage: Bacteria; Pseudomonadati; Bacteroidota; Cytophagia; Cytophagales; Hymenobacteraceae
Description: bacterial SSU rRNA
Rfam family: Bacterial small subunit ribosomal RNA
Source: RNAcentral
CACGGGUGCGUAACGCGUAGCCAACCUACCCGAAUCUGGGGGAUAGCCCGCCGAAAGGCGGAUUAAUACCGCAUAAAACUGCAGAACGGCAUCGUGUAACAGUUAAAGAUUUAUUGGAUUCGGAUGGGGCUGCGUGCCAUUAGCUGGUUGGGGAGGUAACGGCUCACCAAGGCGACGAUGGCUAGGGGAGCUGAGAGGCUGGUCCCCCACACGGGCACUGAGAUACGGGCCCGACUCCUACGGGAGGCAGCAGUAGGGAAUAUUGGGCAAUGGUCGAGAGACUGACCCAGCCAUGCCGCGUGCAGGAUGAAGGCUUUCUGAGUCGUAAACUGCUUUUGCCAGGGAAGAAAAAAGCGGAUGCGUCCGCUACUGACGGUACCUGGUGAAUAAGCACCGGCUAACUCCGUGCCAGCAGCCGCGGUAAUACGGAGGGUGCAAGCGUUGUCCGGAUUUAUUGGGUUUAAAGGGUGCGUAGGCGGUUCUUUAAGUCUGGGGUGAAAGCCCGUUGCUCAACAACGGAACUGCCCUGGAAACUGGAGGACUUGAGUACAGACGAGGGUGGCGGAAUGGAUGCUGUAGCGGUGAAAUGCAUAGAUAGCAUCCAGAACCCCGAUUGCGAAGGCAGCUGCCUAGACUGUAACUGACGCUGAGGCACGAAAGCGUGGGGAGCG